RNAcentral lists this ribosomal RNA (687 nucleotides) under uncultured Campylobacterota bacterium. RNAcentral describes it as "bacterial SSU rRNA". It matches the Rfam family "Bacterial small subunit ribosomal RNA", at positions 28 to 733 of the family's 1533-position model. Lineage: Bacteria; Pseudomonadati; Campylobacterota. The record is from RNAcentral.
AGUGAACGCUGGCGGCGUGCUUAACACAUGCAAGUCGAACGGUAACAGCAGUACUUGUACUGGCUGACGAGUGGCGAACGGGUGAGUAAUGUAUAGUUGAUUUGCCUUUAGGAUAGGGAUAGCCAUUGGAAACGAUGAUUAAUACCUAAUAUACCUUAUUUAGUAAAUAAGUAAGGGAAAUGCUUUCGUGCCUAAAGAUAAGACUAUAUGGUAUCAGGUAGUUGGUGGGGUAAGAGCCUACCAAGCCGAUGACGCCUAGCUGGUCUGAGAGGAUGAUCAGCCACACUGGAACUGAGACACGGUCCAGACUCCUACGGGAGGCAGCAGUGGGGAAUAUUGCACAAUGGAGGAAACUCUGAUGCAGCAACGCCGCGUGGAGGAUGACGCAUUUCGGUGUGUAAACUCCUUUUAUAUGGGAAGAUAAUGACGGUACCAUAUGAAUAAGCACCGGCUAACUCCGUGCCAGCAGCCGCGGUAAUACGGAGGGGGUUAGCGUUGUUCGGAAUUACUGGGCGUAAAGCGCACGUAGGCGGACUGGAAAGUUGGGGGUGAAAUCCCGGGGCUCAACCCCGGAACUGCCUCCAAACUUCCCAUCUAGAGAUCGAGAGAGGUGAGUGGAAUUCCAAGUGUAGAGGUGAAAUUCGUAGAUAUUGGGAGGAACACCAAGUGCGAAGGCGACUCCCUGGA